Molecule: ribosomal RNA, 863 nt
Filed under: uncultured marine group I thaumarchaeote
Lineage: Archaea; Thermoproteati; Nitrososphaerota
Description: SSU rRNA
Rfam family: Archaeal small subunit ribosomal RNA
Source: RNAcentral
CCCGCCGGACCUGACUGCUAUCGGAUCGAUACUAAGCCAUGCGAGUCUUUGUAGUAAUACAAGGCAGACGGCUCAGUAACACGUAGUCAACCUACCCUAUGGACAAGAAUAAUCUCGGGAAACUGGGCAUAAUUCUUGAUAGAUCAUAAUGCCUGGAAUGGUUUAUGGUUAAAAUGAUUCGUCGCCAUAGGAUGGGACUGCGGCCUAUCAGCUUGUUGGUGAGGUAAUGGCCCACCAAGGCGAUUACAGGUACGGGCUCUGAGAGGAGAAGCCCGGAGAUGGGUACUGAGACACGGACCCAGGCCCUAUGGGGCGCAGCAGGCGAGAAAACUUUGCAAUGUGCGAAAGCACGACAAGGUUAAUCCGAGUGAUUUCUGCUAAAGAAAUCUUUUGCCAGUCAUAAAACCACUGGUGAAUAAGGGGUGGGCAAGUUCUGGUGUCAGCCGCCGCGGUAAAACCAGCACCUCAAGUGGUCAGGAUGAUUAUUGGGCCUAAAGCAUCCGUAGCCGGCUUUGUAAGUUUUCGGUUAAAUCCAUGUGCUCAACGCAUGGGCUGCCGAAAAUACUGCAUGGCUAGGGAGUGGGAGAGGUAGACGGUACUCAGUAGGAAGGGGUAAAAUCCUUUGAUCUAUUGAUGACCACCUGUGGCGAAGGCGGUCUACCAGAACACGUUCGACGGUGAGGGAUGAAAGCUGGGGGAGCAAACCGGAUUAGAUACCCGGGUAGUCCCAGCUGUAAACGAUGCAGACUCGAUGAUGCAUUGGCAUAAUAGCCAGUGCAGUGUCGCAGGGAAGCCGUUAAGUCUGCCGCCUGGGAAGUACGUACGCAAGUAUGAAACUUAAAGGAAUUGGCGGGGGAGCACCA